UCUCUUUUGCUUGAUUAUAGAUUUUGAAGUUUGGUUCUCCAGAUUUGUGCUUCUCUUCCAAUUUUGGUUCUCAUCUCUUUUGAUUUUCAUGGCAGAUAGACGAUGCUCUAGGCGAAGGCAACACUCAGCCUCUAAAAGUUCUAGUGAAGGACAUUCGAGCUCUGAGAGUUCUUAUAGUGGGAAUUUAGAUGAUCGUUCAAAGAAGAGUACCCACAUCAUACCUGAUCCACCCAUGUCCUGGUAUCCUCCAGGUAGCUUGCCUAGUACAUCAUCAAGUACUGGUUUAACACAUGACACUACAACUGGAAACAAACAAGAAGAAUGGAGUUUCUGCAACUCGCUUAGAGGUGUGGAUGGCUGGGUACUCAAAGGAUAACAAACCAAGUAUUGAUGACACAAAUGAAGGAGCUUGAGGCGCAAUCCAAUGCUAUAGAUGAAUAGAUUAUCACACAGGUUCUAGGGCCUGAGUGACCUGGUCGUGUUUGAACAUUUAGAUUGGGUCCUUCUCCGACAGAUGUCUUUGGAGGUGGAUAUAGGCAAUCACAAGAACAAACUCGUUUCAUUCAAAGGCAAGUCCAAGAGCAACUUAACCAAUAUGAAGCACAAAUGGAGAUACAAAUGAAGGAGAUGAAGGAUGCAGUGUUUAACCAACAGAAAGUACAAAUGGAGAUGCAAAGCACAAUCCAAGCUUAAUAAGCACGAAUAGAGCAGUUAGAGUCUCAACAGGCCAUGGGUGGGCCUGUUGCACCAAUUGCUACACAAGUGCAUUCCAACAACAAUCCCAUGCAUAUACCUCAUCGUUUAAUUGCCAUCAUUCGUUCGAGGAAGUGAGUAAAUAGUUAAUUAUGAAAUUUUCACUAUGACAUUUUAUUCAUGUUGUUUGUUUUUGUCAAAUGUGGGUUCACAUAUCAAAGAAAGGAAAGAAGAAGAAGAAGAAGAAGAAGAAGAAGAAAUAGAUAAGACAAAUUCAAUUAAAGAAGGCCACUGAAGUCUACUAAAUUCAAGAUUCCUACAGUGUCCCCUAUUGAAGAAGUUGUUGGGGUUAAAAGGUUGCUUCAAGAUGAUACUCUUUUAAGUCUGCAAAAGAGGAAGUCAAUAAUCAUAGGAAUCAACUAAUGCAAUGGAAAAGGUUGGAGGUACAGGUAGUAUGCCACCUCCAAGGACAUAGCUUGGAUGAUGAUGAGAGUUGAAGACUCUU
Molecule: long non-coding RNA, 1198 nt
Organism: Camellia sinensis
Lineage: Eukaryota; Viridiplantae; Streptophyta; Magnoliopsida; Ericales; Theaceae
Source: RefSeq, a predicted model, not a curated record